GAUGAACGCUGGCGGCGUGCUUAACACAUGCAAGUCGAACGGAAAGGCCUCAGCUUGCUGGGGUACUCGAGUGGCGAACGGGUGAGUAACACGUGGGUGAUCUGCCCUGCACUUUGGGAUAAGCUUGGGAAACUGGGUCUAAUACCGAAUAUGACCACUUCUUGGAUGUUGUGGUGGAAAGCUUUUGCGGUGUGGGAUGAGCCUGCGGCCUAUCAGCUUGUUGGUGGGGUAAUGGCCUACCAAGGCGGCGACGGGUAUCCGGCCUGAGAGGGUGUACGGACACAUUGGGACUGAGAUACGGCCCAGACUCCUACGGGAGGCAGCAGGGGGGAAUAUUGCACAAUGGGCGCAAGCCUGAUGCAGCGACGCCGCGUGGGGGAUGAAGGCCUUCGGGUUGUAAACUCCUUUCGCUAUCGACGAAGCCACUUGUGGUGACGGUAGGUAGAUAAGAAGCACCGGCUAACUACGUGCCAGCCGCCGCCGUAA
RNAcentral lists this ribosomal RNA (486 nucleotides) under uncultured bacterium. Its description in RNAcentral is "partial 16S ribosomal RNA". It matches the Rfam family "Bacterial small subunit ribosomal RNA", at positions 28 to 523 of the family's 1533-position model. The record is from RNAcentral.